This 367-nucleotide ribosomal RNA is filed under the name uncultured organism. Its description in RNAcentral is "bacterial SSU rRNA". It matches the Rfam family "Bacterial small subunit ribosomal RNA", at positions 527 to 896 of the family's 1533-position model. The record is from RNAcentral.
CGAGGGUGCAAGCGUUGUCCGGAUUAUUGGGUUUAAAGGGUGCGUAGGCGGCUCUUUAAGUCAGUGGUGAAAGCCGACAGCUUAACUGUCGAAAUGCCAUUGAUACUGGGGAGCUUGAGUACAGUAGAGGUAGGCGGAAUUAAUGGUGUAGCGGUGAAAUGCAUAGAUACCAUUAAGAACACCGAUUGCGAAGGCAGCUUACUAUAGUGUAACUGACGCUGAGGCACGAAAGUGUGGGGAUCAAACAGGAUUAGAUACCCUGGUAGUCCACACUGUAAACGAUGAUCACUCGCUGUUGGCGAUAGACAGCCAGCGGCUUAGCGAAAGCGACAGGUGAUCCACCUGGGGGAGUGCGCUCGCAAGAGUG